GCUUACUAAGCCGUGCAACAUCGGGUUCCGGGAAGACCGCGCCUCACUGGAGGCCUUGACCCCGGGCGGGACCGCGGAGGUCGCCAGUGCGCCUGCGCAAACCUCGAGGCCCGCUGUCCGCCCUUCCGUUUCAGAUGGACAACAAAGGGACUCAGCCAUGCAUAUGCGUGUAUCCAUUCUGCCAUGCCAAAUCUUCUCAAGUUUAUCAAGAGUUAAGAUGAAAAAGGAAAUGAGGCUUUCUGGAGAAAUAUAAUGUAUUUGAUAACAAAUACAUGAGGUAUGUUUGUUUUUGGAAAUGGAAUUUGCUCCAAAUAUGGUAAAUAAGCACAUUAGUCAUACUUAACAUACCACUCUAAUCUAUGCCAAAACUAACUGACCUGCUAAACCAGUGUUGUGUUAUUUUAAUUCUUCACUGUGGUCGAGAUUCUUUCAUUACUUAGAAAGCACUAAAUUCCUGUCUUAGCUUUAUCUUUACAGAUCCCCUGCAAAAAUCAUUGCCUGAAACUACCCAGAUAUUCAUCAGUGGGUGAAUGAGCAAAUGCUGUGUGCAUGUGUGUAUAUGACUAUUAUUCUUCACGUUAAGUGAAAGAAGACAGACAUAAAAGGGCACAUAUUGUGUAACCCCAUUUAUACACAUUUCAGUCAGAAUAAGCCAAUCUGUAGACACAGAAAGCUGAUUGGUGGUUGCCGACUGGGGGGCGGGGAGAAUGGGGAGUGAUUGCUUAAUAGGUAUGGGUGAUGAAAGUGGAACUUGAUAUGGGUGGUGAUUGUUCCACACUGUGAAUGUACUAAAUGAAACUUAAGCGUACACUUUCACAAGGUCAAUCUUAUGUUAUGUGAAUUUCACUUCAGUGGGGAAAAAAGAAAAAACAUUGCCUGUGGUGCAGCAGAUUCAACUAUAACGCGAAGCUUACUGUCUUAAGGGCUGGGGAUCUAGCAGCGAACAAGACACGCAGGCUCUGACCUCCCAGAGCCUGCAGUUUAACGUGGACACAAACAACUCUGUAAACAAAUAUUUGUUGAGCUGAACUGAAAUAACGUAAAAGCUCCGGGAGCUGGUGAUGGACAGAGAAGCCUGGCAUGCUGCAGUCCAUGGGGGUCGCAAAGAGUUGGACACGACUGAGCGACUAAACUGAACUGAAGGUCAAAUGAUGAUACCUGCUAUGAGAAAGAACCAAGCAAGACAAGGGACAGAGAUAAAGCCUGUGCUCCCCAACAAGAGAAGCCACCAUAAGGAGCCCAACAAGAGAAGUCACCUUAAGGAGAAGGCUGAGUACCACAACGAAGAGUAGCCCGCACUAGCUACAACUAGAGAAAGCCCAUGAGAGGCAACGAAGACCCUGCACAGCACCCUUUCCUCCCCCCAAAAGCUACACAUUGGACUAUUCCGAAGAUUCUGCAUGUAGGGGAUAGACAAUGAUUUUUAUUUCUCAGUAAUCAUUAAGACUGACAAGAAGAGGCCUUUCUACCUCUCCGUCUACUUAGGACCUCAGGGACAACUGAAGCCUCCAGGGCGGGUAUUGCAACAGAAGGAGAAGGAGGGAACAAUGACGAUGAAGACAGUCUCUGGACUCAGAGCACUUCUUGCAACUGCCAUAUGACUCAUUUACGUGUCUGCCAUUGUGCUGCAUUUCUCCAAAGAAACAGAACUGAUAGGAUAUGACAUACACACACAUACAUCUGCUGCUGCUGCUGCUAAGUUGCUUCAGCCGUGUCCGACUCUGUGUGACCCUAUAGACGGCAGCCCACCAGG
Long non-coding RNA from Bubalus bubalis (water buffalo), 1753 nucleotides. RefSeq lists it as uncharacterized. The record is from RefSeq and is a predicted model, not a curated record. The transcript has 6 exons. NCBI's taxonomy places the organism in Eukaryota, Metazoa, Chordata, Mammalia, Artiodactyla, Bovidae.